UCACUGGGUGGCGAGUGGCGGACGGGUGAGGAAUACAUCGGAAUCUACCUUGUCGUGGGGGAUAACGUAGGGAAACUUACGCUAAUACCGCAUACGACCUUCGGGUGAAAGUGGGGGACCGCAAGGCCUCACGCGAUUAGAUGAGCCGAUGUCGGAUUAGCUAGUUGGCGGGGUAAAAGCCCACCAAGGCGACGAUCCGUAGCUGGUCUGAGAGGAUGAUCAGCCACACUGGAACUGAGACACGGUCCAGACUCCUACGGGAGGCAGCAGUGGGGAAUAUUGGACAAUGGGCGCAAGCCUGAUCCAGCCAUACCGCGUGGGUGAAGAAGGCCUUCGGGUUGUAAAGCCCUUUUGUUGGGAAAGAAAUCUUGCCGGUUAAUACCUGGCGAGGAUGACGGUACCCAAAGAAUAAGCACCGGCUAACUUCGGGCCAGCAGCCGCGGUAAUACGAAGGGUGCAAGCGUUACUCGGAAUUACUGGGCGUAAAGCGUGCGUAGGUGGUGGUUUAAGUCUGCUGUGAAAGCCCUGGGGCUCAACCUGGGGAAUUGCAGUGGAUACUGGGUCACUAGAGUGUGGUAGAGGGAUGCGGAAUUUCCCGGUGUAGCAGUGAAAUGCUAAAGAUCGGAAGGGAACAUCCGGGACGAAGGGGGCAUCCCA
Molecule: ribosomal RNA, 657 nt
Filed under: Pseudoxanthomonas sp.
Lineage: Bacteria; Pseudomonadati; Pseudomonadota; Gammaproteobacteria; Lysobacterales; Lysobacteraceae
Description: bacterial SSU rRNA
Rfam family: Bacterial small subunit ribosomal RNA
Source: RNAcentral